UACGUAGGGUGCAAGCGUUAAUCGGAAUUACUGGGCGUAAAGCGUGCGCAGGCGGUUUUGUAAGUCUGAUGUGAAAUCCCCGGGCUCAACCUGGGAAUUGCAUUGGAGACUGCAAGGCUAGAAUCUGGCAGAGGGGGGUAGAAUUCCACGUGUAGCAGUGAAAUGCGUAGAGAUGUGGAGGAACACCGAUGGCGAAGGCAGCCCCCUGGGUCAAGAUUGACGCUCAUGCACGAAAGCGUGGGGAGAAAACAGG
This 253-nucleotide ribosomal RNA is filed under the name uncultured bacterium. RNAcentral describes it as "partial 16S ribosomal RNA". It matches the Rfam family "Bacterial small subunit ribosomal RNA", at positions 524 to 776 of the family's 1533-position model. The record is from RNAcentral.